CCUCGGGCGGCAGCAGUAGGGAAUCUUCCACAAUGGACGAAAGGCUGAUGGAGCAACGCCGCGUGAGUGAAGAAGGGUUUCGGCUCGUAAAGCUCUGUUGGUAGUGAAGAAAGAUAGAGGUAGUAACUGGCCUUUAUUUGACGGUAAUUAAUUAGAAAGUCACGGCUAACUACGUGCAGGCAGCCGAGGUAAGACGGAGGUGGCAAGAGUUGUCCGGAUUUAUUGGGCGGAAAGCGAGUGUAGGCGGUUAAAUAAGUCUGAUGUGAAAGCCUUCGGCUCAACCGGAGAAUUGCAUCAGAAACUGGUGAACUUGAGUGCAGAAGAGGAGAGAGGAACUCCUUGUGUAGCGGUGGAAUGCGUAGAUAUAAGGAAGAACACCAGUGGCGAAGGCGGCUCACUGGACUGCAACUGACGCUGAGGCUCGAAAGCAUGGGUAGCGAACAGGAUUAGAUACCCGUGUAGUC
RNAcentral lists this ribosomal RNA (464 nucleotides) under uncultured bacterium. RNAcentral describes it as "partial 16S ribosomal RNA". It matches the Rfam family "Bacterial small subunit ribosomal RNA", at positions 339 to 795 of the family's 1533-position model. The record is from RNAcentral.